GUCCACACUGUAAACGAUGAUCACUAGAUGUUGGCGAUACACAGCCAGCGUUCCAGCAAAAGCGAUAAGUGAUCCACCUGGGGAGUACGCCGGCAACGGUGAAACUCAAAGGAAUUGACGGGGUCCGGCACAAGCGGUGGAGCAUGUGGUUUAAUUUCGAUGGUACGCGAGGGAACCUUAACCCUUGGGCGUAGAAUGCCCUUCGUACACUUUCUAGAGAUGAGAGGUUCCGCAAGGACAAGGAGCAAGGUGCUGCAUGGCUGUCGU
RNAcentral lists this ribosomal RNA (267 nucleotides) under uncultured bacterium. Its description in RNAcentral is "partial 16S ribosomal RNA". It matches the Rfam family "Bacterial small subunit ribosomal RNA", at positions 793 to 1055 of the family's 1533-position model. The record is from RNAcentral.